UGUUUCGACACAAAACCAACCUCAAACACUCGCCUUCGAAGACAGAUAGCUCGAUGACACAACUGUUCGAUCAAUUUACUCACACCAUGCUAAUGGAAGCAGCGAUGGUGUACCCAAUCGCGACUCCGACGAUGUUGAGUGAAUACCAAGGUUGGCACGGACGGCGUCCAUGUAGGUGUAGUUGCGCUUGCCGGCAGCGGGAUCACCAGAGCGGUAGCAGUCGGAGAGGAGAGCAGAUGUGUAGUAAGUUACGAAGGAGAAGAGAAGCAUGGCGGCUGGGCCAAUGACCCAUCCGAGCUGACCGACGGCCCAGGCCAAAGAGAGCACUCCAGAGCCGAUGACUGCAGUGACGAUGUGAGCGCUUGCAGUCCACACAGUGCCUGCGAAGAUGAUAACUUGAGAACAAAAAACUACUGAAACAGUGGAACUGAAGCCUUCUGUGAUUUCUUACCAGUCCUCUUGGGACGACCAUCGUCGUCGAAGCACUCGGAAGCUCCCUGCGAGAGGCCAACUUCUAGUGCUGCCUGGUGGCAGUAGUUGGCAGCACCGAUCUCAUCCAUCUUCGAACUGCAGGUGUUGCACUUCAGUUGCACUGGAUCUGAGCAGCUCUUUAUAGUGGCAAAAUGGAAAUAGUGAACAGAGGCCAUCUAAGGUGGACUCGGUGGAUUCCAUAAAGGUACCACUACUCAUCUCUCAUUGAAGGUGAUGACCACAACAGCCUUCGUGUCUCACCACUGACCUCAUCGGAUUGUUAAUGUGCUUGUAGUAUCCCCACUCCCAUUAACUCGUAGGUAGGUUGGGGUGGGAGCAGUGGCAGGAACUAGGAAG
Molecule: long non-coding RNA, 828 nt
Organism: Zingiber officinale
Lineage: Eukaryota; Viridiplantae; Streptophyta; Magnoliopsida; Zingiberales; Zingiberaceae
Exons: 2
Source: RefSeq, a predicted model, not a curated record